RNAcentral lists this ribosomal RNA (337 nucleotides) under uncultured bacterium. RNAcentral's name for it is "partial 16S ribosomal RNA". It matches the Rfam family "Bacterial small subunit ribosomal RNA", at positions 29 to 339 of the family's 1533-position model. The record is from RNAcentral.
AACGAACGCUGGCGGCGUGGCUAAGGCAUGCAAGUCGAACGGAUCUAUCCAACGGGUAACUGAAGGGUAGAUUAGUGGCGAACGGGUGAGGAAUACAUGGACAACGUACCCUGGACACGGGGAUAGCGGCGGGCCGCAAGGCUCUUUAGCGAAAGUGCCGGUAAUACCCGAUGAUCCCGCAUGGUCGCAUGAUCGUGUGGGCAAAGCUCCGACGGUCUGGGAUCGGUUCAUGCCCUAUCAGCUAGUUGGUGAGGUAACGGCUCACCAAGGCGGCGGACGGGUACCGGGCGUGAGAGCGUGACCCGGCACAUCGGAACUGAGAUACGGUCCGGACACC